RNAcentral lists this ribosomal RNA (506 nucleotides) under uncultured bacterium. RNAcentral's name for it is "partial 16S ribosomal RNA". It matches the Rfam family "Bacterial small subunit ribosomal RNA", at positions 28 to 523 of the family's 1533-position model. The record is from RNAcentral.
GAUGAACGCUAGCUACAGGCUUAACACAUGCAAGUCGAGGGGUAACGAGAGGGAAGCUUGCUUUCCUUGUCGACGACCGGCGCACGGGUGAGUAACGCGUAUCCAACCUGCCCCCAACUAGGGAAUAACCUUGCGAAAGUAAGACUAAUACCCUAUAAUUUCCUCAGAUGUCAUCUGACGAGGAAUGAAGAUUUAUCGGUUGUGGAUGGGGAUGCGUCUGAUUAGCUUGUUGGCGGGGUAACGGCCCACCAAGGCAACGAUCAGUAGGGGUUCUGAGAGGAAGGGCCCCCACAUUGGAACUGGGACACGGUCCAAACUCCUACGGGAGGCAGCAGUGAGGAAUAUUGGUCAAUGGGCGGAAGCCUGAACCAGCCAAGUAGCGUGCAGGAUGACGGCCCUAUGGGUUGUAAACUGCUUUUAUACAGGAAUAAAGUUAGCCACGUGUGGUUAUUUGUAGGUACUGUAUGAAUAAGGGCCGGCUAAUUCCGUGCCAGCCGCCGCCGUAA